GCAACCCUUGUCCUUAGUUACCAGCACGUUAUGGUGGGCACUCUAAGGAGACUGCCGGUGACAAACCGGAGGAAGGUCGGGAUGACGUCAAGUCAUCAUGGCCCUUACGGCCUGGGCUACACACGUGCUACAAUGGUCGGUACAAAGGGUUGCCAAGCCGCGAGGUGGAGCUAAUCCCAUAAAACCGAUCGUAGUCCGGAUCGCAGUCUGCAACUCGCCUGCAUGAAGCCGGAAUCGCUAGUAAUCGCGGAUCAGCAUGCCGCGGUGAAUACGUUCCCGGGCCUU
Molecule: ribosomal RNA, 285 nt
Filed under: uncultured Pseudomonadaceae bacterium
Lineage: Bacteria; Pseudomonadati; Pseudomonadota; Gammaproteobacteria; Pseudomonadales; Pseudomonadaceae
Description: partial 16S ribosomal RNA
Rfam family: Bacterial small subunit ribosomal RNA
Source: RNAcentral